RNAcentral lists this small nuclear RNA (22 nucleotides) under Arabidopsis thaliana (thale cress). RNAcentral's name for it is "snRNA_06303". The record is from RNAcentral. Lineage: Eukaryota; Viridiplantae; Streptophyta; Magnoliopsida; Brassicales; Brassicaceae.
AUAACAAAAACAUUUCUGGGAA